Molecule: long non-coding RNA, 4547 nt
Organism: Mugil cephalus (flathead mullet)
Lineage: Eukaryota; Metazoa; Chordata; Actinopteri; Mugiliformes; Mugilidae
Exons: 3
Source: RefSeq, a predicted model, not a curated record
AAUGAGAGCGGGACGCCGGUCGAUCAAGCUUUUUCACUGCAGCAGUUGGCCAGGGUUCAGGGAAACUGAAGAAGAGGAGGGAAGACUUCAGACAGAGGGAAGGAGAUUUGAGUUCGAGGUCUGAUGAUCAGCCGGGACCCGGACGCCUCCUGUGACUUAAUCAGCUUCAGGAGGUAGCCGGUCUCAUCUCCCUCCGCAGAGAACUUACCUGUCCUCGCCCGCCUGAGGCUUGUUCCGUACUGGAUGCGGCACGAGAACGAGCCUCACAUCCUCCACGCCUGCGCUGCAACCCAUCAACCUCUCGCUUCAGCGGCAGGCGUGUGUGUCAACCCGCGAGAAGGUCCCUAUGUUUGCAGAGGUCAAAGUCAUCUGUCAAACCGGCGAGACGGCUGGCUGGCUCCACGGAGGCAAGCGCUGGGCAUGCGAGGUGAGGAUGGGGCUCAGGGGCCCAGAGCAGCUCCAUGAGAUGACUCUGAGAGGUGCUACCUUCAGGCAACACUUCACUAAACAACUUUGACGCUCUCCUCGUGCUGUCUCAUUCCCCCUUUUUUUAUGGUUCAGUGGAGAGUGAUUCCAGGGGAGAGAAACAAUGGCGGGGAUGAGGAAAUGGAGGGAAAAGUGGAAGUAACUAGAGUAAACACAGACCGCUCAAGGAGAUGGAUAAAAAGGUGUAAUGGAAGGGAGCAGCAAUAGAAAACACACAGUCACUAUUAAUUGUGAGUGUGAAUGUGUAAAUGUGCCGAUGACCUGGUGGGACUGCAGAAAAUUGGAGCUGUGUAUGUCCAUGCAGUAUUUAAUCUAUAAAACAUGUAAAACUGUUUCCUGAAUUAAUAUCCAAACAUGGGGACCUGCACUACUAAUAAGAAGGUUUAACUGCCAAAUUUUAAAGCGAAGACACAGACUAGACCACAAGUAGAAAUGACCCGACUGAUAAUGGGGAUGUAAUGUAGGUGUUGCUCGCAUCAAGCUGCCAUACAAAGGACCCAUUUACUAUGGUCACUUUUAAGUAAAAACAUGCAUGGAAAUAAAAUAGGCCCCACAAUCGAACGUUGGGGUACACCACAGGAAUAACACAAAGGUUUAAAGGCUUAAAGGUUACCUUAAUGCCCACUACCUGAUCUAGAUCUGAUGGACUCCAUCAAACAGAGGAGCUGAACCAGUGCUGUGGUACAUCGUGAAAGCUGAACUUGUGACAUAAUGUUAGAAGACAUUUUUUUGAAAAAGAAUAACAUUUGAUCAAGGCGGCAAGUUACUUCAUUAAGUAUUUAUGUAGCUUGAAUGAAGACAUGCUUGAAUGAGGACAGUGGAGAGAAAACCAUAGAGCAUCAGAGUGAGUGAGUAAGUAGGAAGAUGAAAAGGUUUCUAGAGGAUGAGCCGAGGGGACGGUUGGGGAAUCAGGGUGCAGCGCCCAGGAGACCGAUUAACACCAUGCGUACAUCUGGUCCACUCAUGGUGACCAUGGGGACAGCUGAGUUUAACGGGAAACAAGUGCCUUUAUUCUCACCUUCCAGGCACUUUUUCAUCAUGUCUCCACUCCACUGUUUACACGGCGGAUGAAGUGCUUCACAAUGACUGGAUAAUUUGGCACUUGCAUUGUGCUUUCCCAUUAUGAAUCAACUCGUCUAUUUUUACAAUCAAUUCCAUUUUUUUUUCUUUGCAAGCUAACCUUGAAGAUUGAUUUGCUCUGACCUGCUUCAGCAAAUAGAAACUCACUUAAUUAUAUAUUAAGUAAGAGAAUGAAUAAACUAGUAACAUUAUUUAACACAUGUUAUAUGUACGCUGGCCUUAAACUUUGGAUUCCUCCAAAGGAGGAAAGCUCUUUGAUAAUGGCUUUGUAAGCCCUCUGACGUGCUGCGAUGCUCUCCAGCGCAACCGUAAUUACUGCCUGACAGCGGGCAGAGGCCCCUCACAAAGGCUCGAUAAUCAGAGGCUGGUGAUCGGAGCAUGCAGCUCAUGACCAAGGAAAGCAGCGGCGCUGAAAAGUAAUUAAAGUCACCCGUAGUACGGAGCCAUGCAAACUGCUCUCCCAGCUUGCUCCAACACCCCUCCUUGACUGCUCACUGUUCUGCUAUUCUCUCUUUCCCCUUUUCCAUCCUCAUUCUCGUAUCAUUUUCUCUCACGUCCCGCUGCUCCACUUCUCCCUCCCCUAUCUUCCUCUGAGCUCCCGUCUCGCUUUUCUCUCCCUCUGUCCAUCAUUCCUCCAGCCUGUGAGUGUUGUAUUUUUUUCUCCUCUCCAUCCAUCACCUGCUGAUUCAUGAAUGCAGCAGCUACACUUUAUGUGCAAAAGCAGUGAAUAAAUGAACCACGGGAUGCCUCAGCCCUCCUCCACGCACACACAUUCCAAAACUGAGUACACCACAAGCUCCUGUCGCAGUCUACAUUCAAAUGUAAUAUAGCACAAAUGCCUUAGGCCCAACAAAUGCACACUUGCGUUCUUGCAUUGUUUCUUUCCGUGUGUAAUCUUUGCAUGUAUGCAUAAUUUAUUGCCUCACGUAGAUCUCUCAACCAACUUCUUCUUUUAAAGACGCCUGUCUAAUAUCAUUCGCUGUGCGUGCUCCUUAGCUAAUCACCAGCUAAGCCUUUGUGCUAUGCAAAGAAGUGCAAGAUUACCCCUUUCACUUCUCCCCCCUGUUCAUAACCCCUUGGCUCAUCCGUGGGGAGCUCAGAGUAAAUGGAGAAAAAAAAAAAAGGGGUGAGGUCUUUGCGCAAGUAUGUGGAUUGGUGACCUAAUCCCUUCUUCAACUUCUCAUUUGGUUGGGGCGUCUCGGCCGCCACAGUAUGGAGUUAAUACUCACUCGAUUAAACGCACACAGUCUUGCCCACUUAGGGACACGCCGACCAGGCAGCGAGCACUGGCGUGAAAUGGAGGCGAGCAAAAAAGAAAGUGUUUGUGUUUAUUCUCGCCCCUGAUGAUGAAUAAAGUUCAGUUCCAUUAGACGCAGCAUGCUCGUCGUAUUGUCAUUAGCACAGGCACAUUAAGUAUACACUGAGUGAUUUAUAGAGGGGAGUUUCAGCUCGGUUUUACUUACCUGGCUCACCAUCCUGGCUUUCAGCGGCAGUAGGAUUUUCUUUUUUUUAUUAUCGUUAUUAUUGUUAUUUUCAGUUAAUAAAAGCUCUGUCCUUAAAUCACCUGCUCAGCACCAGACAGCAGACAAUUAACCAACAGGGCCGUAAAAAUAGUGGAACAUUCAUCAGAUAAAGAGACAGACCUUUUCCAUAAGAGUUGGUCGAGACAGAAAACCAGAGCUAAGGGACAGUGAGCAUGCUAAUUCUCUAAAGGAAAUAAAAAUGAUGGUAAAUGAAGUGUAUGUGCUGCUCACAAAUGAAUCAUUUUUAUAUUUAAAACACAUCAAAUCACACUCUUAUUGUGUGCAACGGUUUGGAUAUUAUUAAAAAAAUACUGUAGAUGUAGUCAUCAUGUUUUGAUUGCUGUAAUGAAUUAAUACAUAACAUUAACAUAGUUUCUAAGCAACCAUGGGUUCUGGACGUACUCAGGUGCCUUCAAACUGUGCACUCUUCUCGUAAACGCACUUCUUGCCGCUGAGUUACCUGCUGUACGUAUGCCCGGCUUCCUCUCAGGCGUGCAGGUUUGGACCCGAGUAAACGGACCUGACAAGGGUUAAUGCUGCUGCUGAGUACAACUGAUCUGUGCAGUUCCUCUGAGGUACAAUGGGACCUAUGUGUUGGACUUCUAAUCCACGGGCUGGACGUGAGCAGCAAGUUGGCUAAUGGCAUUUGUAGAGAAUAAGAAUCAUUACAAAGCUCAGUGGCAUGAAAGGCUGCAGCCAUGGCCACUCUAUACUCAUUUAGUUAACACAGCACUGUGCGGCAGACCAAAUCCCCCCUACACUGCGCUCUUUGUUUAAUUUUGAGCUAAUCUCUUUGGCCAAUGCGUUUUUUUUUUUUUACUCUGCAAUCAGUUAAGGAAACCGCUGAUUUAUCAUUUCUAUAGGUUAUAGAUUAAGCAGCUUAUUCAGUACGUAUACCCCCAUACGUAGCAAACAAACUCAAAAAUCUCAAUGAAAUGGAAAGUUAAAAAUCACUCUUCAAAACCAGGCUUUAAACGGUUUAAUAUUUAUGUUAUCCUUGUUUGACUUUGGUGUUUUGGAUGCUCUUUUUACCCUCCUACACGAAAUAAUCAGCUCCUGUUGUGCCAAAAUCCGAUUCAUAGCAUGGAGUAUGAAAAGCACAAAGUCGCUUAAUUUCUAUUCUCCUCACAGGGACGGGUGUGUGGCACGGAAAUUGCUUGAUUGUGCCUGAGCUCUCAGGUUUGUGGGAGAAAGCUAAAAAAUAUAUAUAUUUUUUUUGUAGGCAGAGACUGUGCCUUUUGAACUAGGCAGCCCUGAAAGCACCGAGAUACCGUGUGCCCCUUGAAGCAUGAGUGACAUGCAUGAAAGGGUAUUUUUGAGCGAAAGUGCAGAUGGCUUCAUUUCAGAUUCUUCACUGAGGACAACUGCACUCGAGGACAGAAGAGGAGUGGAACAUCUUGUUUUUAAAUCGUUGUUUUUCCCAUCUUAAUCUCACCCUUCAUUUAAAGUCCACAAUUA